AGGAGAGGAUGUGGAACCAUAUUAUACUUUUUCUUUCGGCUGGGAGAGAACUUUCUUCUGCUCCUCUUGUCAUGAUUAGAUCGAAGUCACUGCUAAAUUAAUAGCCUAUUUUUCUGUCUUCUCAUGAAAGGCCGUUAAUAUUAUCAUCUCAUGUUUAUUCUUUUAUUUUUUCUUCUAAAGCCUAUAGCCACUGGAGAGCCGAUGACAGCCGUUUUAAAAUUCUCAUCCCCUUAUUCAACAUGCAGUACAGGACAUUUUUAUUUUGAGUUAAAAUACUUGUGAGAGGAUCUCACAAUCGUCUCUCCACCAACAACUACUCAUUGUGACAUGUUUCCACUUAGCAUGUUUUGCCAUAAUUUCAGAGUGGGAAUGGCACCCUGGAUGUCAUUGAGCGACUAGCUGGAUGGCUUUCUCUAGUCCAGUAGCUGUAUCCUUGUUUUACACCAAGCUGUUACAUGGUUAACAUUGAACAUUUUUAAAAAAUUAAUGAAUAAAGAAAGGAAGAAAUGCAAAAAAAGAAACAUAUCCUAAAUAUCUACAAGAAAGUCUUGGUUCUCAAGAACUGGAAGCCAGACAGUGAACCAGAAUCAUCCGUUUAUUCUGAUACAGUGAAAACUUCAACACAGUUGCAACACUGCAAGUCUGAAAACUCAGCGAACAGGAGAGCAAAAUAGAAAAGAAAAACACAAAAUGAGAAGAUGUCCUGGCAUCUGAACAACGUGAUAACUUUCUCCUGUCAACGGCAUACUUAGUUUUCAAGGAAAGAAAUUUUGGGUAGAUCAAGCUUAUCUGCUCAGCAUAAAGCCUUGGCUUCUAAUUAUACAUAUAUGAUCCAUCAUUCCCUCAUUCCCACAUUCUAAAAUUUGCACCAUAGGUAUAUCUGCAUUCAUACUAAUGUUAUGUACAAGUAUUAUAUAUUGCAGAAUCGUGCUACUAGCAAAAUAUUGGAAGUAAUACCAAUACCUGUUGAUGAGGAAACUGUUAAACUAUGACACAACUACACAAUGGAAUAAGAAAGUUUUCUAGGUACUGAUAUGAAAAUAUGUGUAGGUAUACAGUCUGUGUGAGAAGAAAAAAUAAAAAAUAUAUAGUCAUAUUUCUUGGAUCUCUGUAAGAAAUACUAGAACUAAAAGGAAGGACUUUAAAAAUUGGCUUCUGAUACAGGAUUGAGGAUUAGGG
Long non-coding RNA from Canis lupus familiaris (dog), 1179 nucleotides. RefSeq lists it as uncharacterized. NCBI's taxonomy places the organism in Eukaryota, Metazoa, Chordata, Mammalia, Carnivora, Canidae. The record is from RefSeq and is a predicted model, not a curated record. The transcript is spliced from 4 exons.